Molecule: unclassified non-coding RNA, 2913 nt
Filed under: Leishmania donovani
Lineage: Eukaryota; Euglenozoa; Kinetoplastea; Trypanosomatida; Trypanosomatidae
Description: gene:LdHU3.31.4840(CDS-product:hypothetical_prote in_conserved)
Source: RNAcentral
CGUGCCAUGACACUUACGUGCAGUGACCCAACCACGCCCGCAUACACGCAGUAGCUCACCGACAUCAUCCUGCAUUCGUCUGUGGAAGGUGGUUGUGCCCUUUCCGUUUUUUUUUUGCUGUUAAAUCGAAGCUGCCACCCCUGACACUUAGCAUCUUAUAACCACCGGUGCAGCCGUCUCCCCUCGUGUUGACGCCGGGGCACCCUCGCGGGAGGUCGCGGUUUCUUUUCUGUGCUUUUUAUUUGUCUUGGCGCCGUGUGCGUGUGUGUGCGGCCCUCAUCUUUUCGUGGUGCCGCGGGGAUUUGAUUGGCGAGCGCACGUAGUGCAGUGGGUAUUGCCUGUGCCCGCUGCCUGCUUCGUUCUGUGGGAGGCACCCCUUGGACGAGCACCACCACCAUGUGAGGGACUCGCAGCCGCAAAGAAGCUCCUCUUUUUCUGUGGCGUGUAUUUGGGGGCGUAGAUUUGCUGUUGCAUGCUGCUGACAUGUGAGAAGCUGCCACCCACCCACCCCCACCCCACCCUUGCACCCUCUCGCCGACAGCACAAACGACCACUCAUCUUGCGCGCAGAUAACCAGGGUGGAGGAGGGCACGAGGCAUUAGCCGGCUCGAAAGCCGACACCUAAACAAAAACGAAAAGGGCGAGAACAUACGCAAGCGGCACGAUUUAACUGCUUCUCCCCUCAACGGCCGACUCCCUCGCUUGUCUUUCGAACCUGAAGAAUCGGCCCGCUGUUUCAACGCACUACGUCGUGCUGUCCCUGUCUCCUUGCCCCCCCCUUGCACUGCGGCUGAGAUCAUUCUUUUUCUUGCGUGUUAUAUCUCUCCGUUAAGGUUCUUCUUGCCCUUUCACAAGUACCGUUACCUCCUGGUAUGGGCGCUCGCUAAUCCCCUUUUUCUUUGAGGUUCGCACCAGACCCGCAGGUGCCACCCCCCCCCCCCGUGAGGGUCACAGGACACCUGCGCAUCAGCUCAUCUGCGUUGCCAGCCGUGCCGUGCUUCGCACGUGACUCUGUCUCUUUUUUUUUCUGCUUUCCCUUUGCCAUAGUUCACCUCUACCCCCGUAACGAUGGGGUUUUGCUUAUGCCAUCCGAAGUCGACGACUGCACUGCAUGCAGAGCAGCUGGAAAAGCUAGAGGCGGUGCCGACGGAGGCUCCCGCCUCUGCCUCUGCGCCCAAGAUACCGCUGCUGGUGGAGCCGCACGACACGAAAAGCACCUGUCCGCCUGCACCUCCCGACCCCUCUCCCGUACAUGAGAGAGAGUUAAAUGGGCGUUGCUCUAGCUUAUCGAGAAGCACUAUAAUUGAGGGCUGCGGCAACCCGGGAUGGGCUCCCGGGACGCGCGCGUUUGUUGGCAGGGACGACUCCGCGCACCGCGGUACCUCACCCAGGACGAGGACCCUGGCAACAGAUUCCAUCUUUGAUUCGAGCUUCCAACGUGGGUCGGACGUCGUGAGUCGCACGCUUAACUGCCCAUCAGCGGCGCACAGCAGCAACACGAGCCCCUUAUCUCUGCGGGAUACUCGUGCAGGCAAGCCGGGUUCUCUCAGUGUCACGGAUAUGCACACCAUCGCCAAUGGUGUGGCGAACCACACUCGUAGUAUCAGCGGCCCAGCUGAUGCGCUGCAGCUAAGUAGUAUCUUGCGACCCAGCAGCGGCUGGACCAACAGCAGAUCGCCGCUGACACAGAAUCGCCCUCCGAGCACCGAACACUGGAGCUCGUCGCAGAGUUCAGGGCCGCAGACGACGCUUGUGCCUAGCCGUGGCAGUGUCUGUUUCUUGGGCAGCGAUGGGAAGGCUGCCGAGCCGCAGGGGACGGGAUCGAACGAAGUGAGCCACCAAGGAGACCAGGAUAGGCUGAAGGAGACCUCAGACGGCGCAAGGACAUCGGCGGACACCCCCACUGCUCAGGGCAACCGCCAACGAGUACCACGCUCGCUGAUCGCAGGAAAUGGCGGGGCAGAUGGUGGAUCUCCAACGAAGAAAACGGACCCGAAAUUUUGCAGUCCGGCGCCCACAGCGGCGUCGGUGUCUCGCGAAACGCCCUCUCCGUGGCCGUCCGUCGAGGGUCCACCUUCGAAUCCGUCACAUCACAACGGCGUCUUCAAUGACCUGGCAUACUUCUGCUUCAGUGAGAACAGUGACCAAUCCGGUGUCUUCUAUGGCAACGGCGGAAGCGGGGAGAUGCCGCCGGCAGCUCCACUGCUCACUGCCACCUCCCGUGCCUCCCAGUCACCGAAGAGCAUUCUUCUGAGACCGAGUGCGAACACCAGCGGAGCCGGCGGCCUGUGGACACCUCAGUGCCCUGUUAGCCUGCCCUGGCAGGACUCGGUCUCAUCCGGGCUUCGUCGCGUCAGUCGUCGCCGGAAGAGCGAGCAAGACGGGCUCCUCUCGGAGCGACGACCCAGCUUUGAUGUGGGACUGCCACACCGUCCCAGCAGCUCUGGGCUGCAUCGAUCCGGCCGCGAUGAGGACAGCGGUAGAGACGACGCACACAUCAUUGCCAGUGUACGGCGAACCAUGAUGCGCCUACAGCGCUUCGAUGGGGCCGGUAGCGUAUGCAGCAACGGCCCUAGUCGGCCUGGAGGCCGAUUGAGCUCCGCUGACAUUAACGCACGUGCACUCCGCACGGCGGAGAGGAUAAGCGUUGCCAUGCUCUCUGUACCCAAGGCAGUGAAGACGAUAGUAGAGAGCAAGGGCUCCAUGUCAUGCUCUGCGACCUCCGACAGCGGUUCUGCAGAAACUACGAGCGGCGCACGGGCGCCUGCGCCCGAUCCGAAGAAACCGACUCUUAGCCAAUAGCUUCUUCUAAAGGAAGGCGUUGUGCUAGCGGCGCUGCACGAUCUGAUUGCUUUAUCGUCGCAUUUCCUUUUCUUUUCUCCAUGAUUCAUUCUGCGUGCGUGCCUCGCAACG